UACGAAGGGGGCUAGCGUUGUUCGGAAUUACUGGGCGUAAAGCGUGCGCAGGCGGUUAUGUAAGACAGAUGUGAAAUGCCCGGGCUUAACCUGGGAACUGCAUUUGUGACUGCAUGGCUAGAGUUUGGCAGAGGGAGGUAGAAUUCCACGUGUAGCAGUGAAAUGCGUAGAGAUGUGGAGGAAUACCGAUGGCGAAGGCAGCCUCCUGGGAUAACACUGACGCUCAUGCACGAAAGCGUGGGGAGCAAACAGG
Molecule: ribosomal RNA, 253 nt
Filed under: uncultured bacterium
Lineage: Bacteria
Description: partial 16S ribosomal RNA
Rfam family: Bacterial small subunit ribosomal RNA
Source: RNAcentral